RNAcentral lists this transfer RNA (73 nucleotides) under Bos taurus (domestic cattle). It matches the Rfam family "tRNA". From Rfam's summary of the family: Transfer RNA (tRNA) molecules are approximately 80 nucleotides in length. Their secondary structure includes four short double-helical elements and three loops (D, anti-codon, and T loops). Lineage: Eukaryota; Metazoa; Chordata; Mammalia; Artiodactyla; Bovidae. RNAcentral also lists the same sequence under 5 other names. The record is from Rfam by way of RNAcentral.
UCCCUGCUGGUCCAGUGGCUAAGGUUCUGCACUCCUGACGCAGGGGGCCCGGGUUCGAUCCCUGGUCAGGGAA